This 144-nucleotide small nucleolar RNA is filed under the name Dichanthelium oligosanthes. Its description in RNAcentral is "small nucleolar RNA snoR134". It matches the Rfam family "small nucleolar RNA snoR134". Lineage: Eukaryota; Viridiplantae; Streptophyta; Magnoliopsida; Poales; Poaceae. The record is from Rfam by way of RNAcentral.
CUGUACGGUGCUAACCCCGGGCUUGUCUGAUUACUACCUUGAAGAAGGAAGCCCCAAUGCCUGUGCUAGAUCCACCAUGCCAUUCAGUGUUGCAGGCUAUGACAAAUCUUGUGAUUGGUCUGUGUCAAAGCAAUGGAUACAGAU